UACGAAGGGGGCUAGCGUUGUUCGGAAUUACUGGGCGUAAAGCGCACGUAGGCGGAUAUUUAAGUUAGGGGUGAAAUCCCAGGGCUCAACCCUGGAACUGCCUUUAAUACUGGGUAUCUCGAGUCCGAGAGAGGUGAGUGGAAUUCCGAGUGUAGAGGUGAAAUUCGUAGAUAUUCGGAGGAACACCAGUGGCGAAGGCGGCUCACUGGCUCGGUACUGACGCUGAGGUGCGAAAGCGUGGGGAGCAA
RNAcentral lists this ribosomal RNA (248 nucleotides) under uncultured bacterium. RNAcentral describes it as "partial 16S ribosomal RNA". It matches the Rfam family "Bacterial small subunit ribosomal RNA", at positions 524 to 771 of the family's 1533-position model. The record is from RNAcentral.